Ipomoea triloba (trilobed morning glory) is the source of this 205-nucleotide long non-coding RNA. RefSeq lists it as uncharacterized. NCBI's taxonomy places the organism in Eukaryota, Viridiplantae, Streptophyta, Magnoliopsida, Solanales, Convolvulaceae. The transcript is spliced from 2 exons. The record is from RefSeq and is a predicted model, not a curated record.
CAUCCCAGAUACUUAGCUUUUUUGCCAAUAAUCCCACCGUCCACCCCUUUAUACUCUCAUUUUUUGUGGUAUAAAUUCAGUUUCUGCUUCUCCCUUCCUCACUAAGCAUACAUCUUCAGAUUAGAGCUGCACUUAAUAACAGAAAUGGGCGAAGAAGUUAAACAACAGGAAGCAGUUGAGGGAGAGGCGAAAGUAGUACAGUAGA